ACACGACUACAUUAGAUACCCGUGUAGUCCAGGGUGUAAACGCUGCGGGCUUGGUGUUGGGGGUCCUUUGAGGGCGCCCAGUGCCGGGAGAAGUUGUUAAGCCUGCUGCUUGGGAGUACGUCCGCAAGGCUGAAACUUAAAGGAAUUGGCGGGGAGCACAACAACGGGUGGAGCUUGCGGUUUAAUUGGAUUCAACGCCGGAAAUCUUACCGGGACCGACAGCAAUAUGAAGGCCAAGCUGAAGACUUUGCCGGAUUAGCUG
RNAcentral lists this ribosomal RNA (262 nucleotides) under uncultured archaeon. Its description in RNAcentral is "partial 16S ribosomal RNA". It matches the Rfam family "Archaeal small subunit ribosomal RNA", at positions 719 to 982 of the family's 1478-position model. The record is from RNAcentral.